GCGAAGGUAGCGCAAUCACUUGUCUUUUAAAUGAAGACCUGUAUGAAUGGCACGACGAGGGCUUAACUGGCUCCUUUUUCCAGUCAAUGAAAUUGAUCUUCCCGUGGAGAAGCGGGAAAAAUAUCAUAAGACGAAAAGACCCUGGGGAGCUUUAAACACUAAAUCAGCCCUUGUCCAAAAUCCCAAUUAAAGGAAUGAACACUAAAGUGAGACCUGAUUUAAUGUCUUCGGUUGGGGCGACCUUGGGGAAAGAAAAAACCCCCAUGCGGAAAAAAAAUACUGUACUUCCAAAACAAAAAGAAACCACUCAAAGUAUAAAAAUUUUUGACCCAUUAUUGGAUCCGGCUUAACGCCGAUCAACGGACCAAGUUCCCCA
RNAcentral lists this ribosomal RNA (376 nucleotides) under Amphiprion percula (orange clownfish). RNAcentral describes it as "partial 16S rRNA". It matches the Rfam family "Bacterial large subunit ribosomal RNA", at positions 1950 to 2470 of the family's 2925-position model. Lineage: Eukaryota; Metazoa; Chordata; Actinopteri; Pomacentridae. The record is from RNAcentral.